UACGUAGGUGGCAAGCGUUGUCCGGAUUUACUGGGUGUAAAGGGCGUGUAGCCGGGUCGGCAAGUCAGAUGUGAAAUCUGGGGGCUCAACCUCCAAACUGCAUUUGAAACUGUUGAUCUUGAGUAUCGGAGAGGUAAUCGGAAUUCCUAGUGUAGCGGUGAAAUGCGUAGAUAUUAGGAAGAACACCAGUGGCGAAGGCGGAUUACUGGACGACAACUGACGGUGAGGCGCGAAAGCGUGGGGAGCAAAC
This 250-nucleotide ribosomal RNA is filed under the name uncultured bacterium. RNAcentral's name for it is "partial 16S ribosomal RNA". It matches the Rfam family "Bacterial small subunit ribosomal RNA", at positions 524 to 773 of the family's 1533-position model. The record is from RNAcentral.